UAGUGGUGAAAAGUGUGGGAAAAUUAGGCAACUCUCGAUGGUGAAGUCCAGCGAGAGCGGCAAACUUGAAAACUAUUGGGCAAUAAACCACCAGCAUUCCUGACUGUUUUUGAUUAGAUUAAUUUUAUAGGAGGAAUCUACCCGAGACCCGUUCGGUCGCUGUUCGCGGGUGCAGCUGGAUUGAAAACGGAAAAUGAACACAAGAAACACAUUGACACGCGAGAUAAAAGUGUAGGAAGGAUUUGCAUACGUUAUGUUGGGAAGCAUAGGAAACACUUUACCAGUGCUAACAAACGCGGACCACUCUCACAUCAAAAUAAUUCAGAUGCUAAUGGUAACGCGAGUAGAUUGCACCUAACUGAGGAACGAGGCUGGAAGCAGUAAGUGUAAAAAGGAAGGAUGAAAAAAUAAACACACAAGCAUGGAUAGCAAUAUAAGCAUGUCGCUUACUUUCAAUAGUAAUAAUACUAACAAUGGAACUCCGGAAUACAGCAGACACUCGGGAUCUUGUCUCUGGUUUUUGGUCAAUCAUUUCAUUAGAAGAUGGCGACAAAGAUGAUCCUAACUAAGUAGCAGCGGGUAGCGGAAGUAGCGGCAGCGGAUAGCAACAGUAGCGGCAGCUAUAGUGGUUUUCGACACCCUGUCAAUCAAUUGGAACCAAAUUUGACAUGUGGAAGUUUAUGGGGGAAGAAAUGGUUUGACAAUCCUCUGUAGUCUGCAAAGGAAGGGAGGCUUCCAAGCAAGUAAAACUAAUAUUUCAACCAAUUUUUCCGGAAAACAGCCGGAUGAUGCACAGCAGCCAAUUAUCGACUAUAGAUGCCAUUUUUGAAUCCAAGAUGAAAACUUCUGGUUUUUGUAAAACAGCCGAAAAUGGUGGAACACCACCCAAUAUUGGUAUCUCCGGAACCAGAAUAAAGCGCAGCUCCUAGAAA
Long non-coding RNA from Wyeomyia smithii (pitcher-plant mosquito), 932 nucleotides. RefSeq lists it as uncharacterized. The record is from RefSeq and is a predicted model, not a curated record. The transcript is spliced from 4 exons. Lineage: Eukaryota; Metazoa; Arthropoda; Insecta; Diptera; Culicidae.